GACGAACGCUGGCGGCGUGCUUAACACAUGCAAGUCGAACGCUGAAGCUCAGCUUGCUGGGUGGAUGAGUGGCGAACGGGUGAGUAACACGUGAGUAACCUGCCCUCUUCUUUGGGAUAACGCCCGUAAACGGGUGCUAAUACUGGAUAUUCACUGAUUCUCGCAUGGGGGUUGGUGGAAAGGUUUGUUCUGGUGGGGGAUGGGCUCGGGGCCUAUCAGCUUGUUGGUGGGGUGAUGGUCUACAAAGGCUUGGACGGGUAGCUGGCCUGAGAGGGUGACCGGUCACAUUGGGAGUGGUACAAGGACCAGAAUGUAACGGGAGGCAGCAGUGGGGAAUAAUGAACACGGAGCGAAAGCCUGAUGCAGCGACGCCGCGUGAGGGAUGGAGGCCUUCGGGUUUUAAACCUCUUUCGCUCAUGGUCAAGCCGCAGCUUUGGGUUGUGGUGAGGGUAGUGGGUAAAGAAGCGCCGGCUAACUACGUG
This 482-nucleotide ribosomal RNA is filed under the name uncultured bacterium. RNAcentral's name for it is "partial 16S ribosomal RNA". It matches the Rfam family "Bacterial small subunit ribosomal RNA", at positions 28 to 507 of the family's 1533-position model. The record is from RNAcentral.